UGCAGUCGAGCGGAAGGNCCUUCGGGGUACUCGAGCGGCGAACGGGUGAGUAACACGUGAGUAACCUGCCCCCUACUUUGGGAUAACCCUCGGAAACGGGGGCUAAUACCGGAUAUGACCUCCUGGGGCAUCUUGGGGGGUGGAAAGUUUUUCGGUGGGGGAUGGGCUCGCGGCCUAUCAGCUUGUUGGUGGGGUAAUGGCCUACCAAGGCGACGACGGGUAGCCGGCCUGAGAGGGCGACCGGCCACACUGGGACUGAGACACGGCCCAGACUCCUACGGGAGGCAGCAGUGGGGAAUAUUGCACAAUGGGCGGAAGCCUGAUGCAGCGACGCCGCGUGAGGGAUGAAGGCCUUCGGGUUGUAAACCUCUUUCAGCAGGGACGAAGCGCAAGUGACGGUACCUGCAGAAGAAGCACCGGCCAACUACGUGCCAGCAGCCGCGGUAAGACGUAGGGUGCGAGCGUUGUCCGGAAUUAUUGGGCGUAAAGAGCUCGUAGGCGGCUUGUUGCGUCGGCUGUGAAAACCCGCGGCUCAACCGUGGGCUUGCAGCCGAUACGGGCAGGCUAGAGUUCGGUAGGGGAGACUGGAAUUCCUGGUGUAGCGGUGAAAUGCGCAGAUAUCAGGAGGAACACCGGUGGCGAAGGCGGGUCUCUGGGCCGAUACUGACGCUGAGGAGCGAAAGCGUGGGGAGCGAACAGGAUUAGAUACCCUGGUAGUCCACGCUGUAAACGUUGGGCGCUAGGUGUGGGGGANCUCUCCGGUUCUCUGUGCCGCAGCUAACGCAUUAAGCGCCCCGCCUGGGGAGUACGGNCGCAGGGCUAAAACUCAAAGGAAUUGAGGGGGCCCGCACAAGCGGCGGANCAUGUGGAUUAAUUCGAUGCAACGCGAANAANCUUACCUGGGUUUGA
RNAcentral lists this ribosomal RNA (909 nucleotides) under Micromonosporaceae bacterium UR00HD93. Its description in RNAcentral is "bacterial SSU rRNA". It matches the Rfam family "Bacterial small subunit ribosomal RNA", at positions 56 to 984 of the family's 1533-position model. Lineage: Bacteria; Bacillati; Actinomycetota; Actinomycetes; Micromonosporales; Micromonosporaceae. The record is from RNAcentral.